Homo sapiens (human) is the source of this 390-nucleotide long non-coding RNA. RefSeq lists it as uncharacterized. The transcript has 2 exons. NCBI's taxonomy places the organism in Eukaryota, Metazoa, Chordata, Mammalia, Primates, Hominidae. The record is from RefSeq and is a predicted model, not a curated record.
AGGAGUCUCGCUGUGUCACCCAGGCUGGAGUGCAGUGGUGUGAUCUUGGCUUACUGCAACCUCUGCCUCCCAGGUUCAAGUGAUUCUCCUGCCUCAGCCUCCCAAGUACCUGGGACUACAGAUCUUUAGAUAAGCACUCUUUCAACCAAAUGCCAAUCAGAAAAUCUUUGAAUCCACCUGUGAGCUGGAAGCCCCGCUGUGCUUUGUGUUGUCCUGCCUUUUCGGACCAAUGUAAAUCUCACAUGUACUGAUUGAUGCCUACAUCUCCUUAAAACGUAUAAAAUCAAGCUGUAACCCAACCACCUUGGGCAUGUGUUCUGAGGACCUCUUGAGGCUGUGUCACUGGUCAUGAUCCUUAACCUUGGCAACAUAAACUUCUAAACUGAUUGA